CCUAGGCUUUGGAGAUAACUAUUCAAUUGAUUCAGUUUCUAAGGUAUGAAUUAUAUCACAAAAUCCAAGUCUUGUAAAUCUAAUGUCAGGAAAAUAGGCUUAGAAAUAUUUGAUACAAAUGUUACAGGGACUCUAGCUUCAUAAUCCUACUAUUAAAUAAAUAAAAAAUAAUCUAAUGUAGUAAUGGACUUUUCCUUGUUUUUUUUUUAUGAGCUAUGGACUUGUCCUUAUUACAAAAAGAUCAAUAAAUUAUAAUUGGAAAGAUCAAGUCCCAUUUAAAGGUAAGCAAUAACUCUCUGAUAACUCAGUAGUAGAUUGUCACUAGUUAAGUCGGAAGCUUAGCCUGUUGUUUCUAAUAUUCUUGUUAGGAUUGUCAAACACUGCAUUGGUUUUUUUUUUUGGCUAGUAUAUGGCUACUAUCCUAGUUUUAUUGUAGAUAUAUAUGAUACUUGAAGCAUGAAGUCUGAAGGUUGGAGCCAAGGUAGUGUGUUUUGGAAACUUUAAAAAAUCAUUUUCUUAUUUUUCUAUUCUUACUUUGUUUUUUAGUGAAAUAGUUUGAACUCUUUCUUGAAGUUGUUAGAUUCAUUUGUGCUUAUAAUGUGACCAAUAAGAAUAAACCAGCUAAGCUCUUGCUUGAACAUGUGCAAUGUUGUCUCAUUUAUCUCAUUUGGAGUUCAAUAUUGGGGGCUGGCUUCAUAACUAUUUGCAUUACAUAUAUGCUAUAUUCUUUCCCGGUUUCCUUUGAUGAAGAGUGGAGUUUGCCAUCUAUAUGCAUUUGAGGAUCAGUGUUCUAUCCAUUUUGCAAAUUUUCAGCUGAGUUAUCGUAUUUUAAGCUGCACUUUCCACAGGGAAUCAAUUAUUUCUUUAGUCUCUGGUGAUUUGUUUCUGCUCAUGUUUUAUUCUUUAACCUGUGGUAGUUUUGUUUAUUAUUUGGAUUGGGGUUCAGUUUUUUCUUAGCUCUAAGGCAGGUUGUUAGAUUAUAUUGCAAUAAAUACUUAUGUGGUACAUCACUUGGCUGGUUGUUAUGACUUCUAUGAUAAAUACAUGUUUUAUGAUUAAUAAAAAAAUUAUCUCCUUUCGUGCCCCCAAUAGGUUUUGCGCCUCAACAGGUUAUAAUUUUUUUUUAAAAUUUUAAAAAAGACCUUUAAUAGCACUUUUCUAAAAAGAGCUAUUAAAAAUAGACCUACAAUAGCACUUUUCAAUAGGCUGUUGUCAUAGAUAUUGCUAUGAAUUGCAUUUUCAUAUGCUUUUUUAGAAUUGUAGAUAUAUCAAGGAUUUGACAAUUAUCUUGAAAUGGAUCCGUUAUCAAGAAUUAUUUGUAAAUUUUUUGAUUAUUGAAUAUAACUCUUCAUUGGAUAAUCGAGAUAUGCGUUUAUAUGUUUUGCAGUGAGCCGAAGUCCGAAUAUCGAUUCUUGAUUCAACGGAUAAUAACGGAUUUUUUCAGAUAGUUAAAUCAAAUUUCAUCCAUGAGUUGUUCUUUAUUAUUCCUUAUUUUUUUGACUUUGAUGCAACAUAAACGAAUUAAACUGUGAACGUGUUUUUCUGCAGCGUGGGUUGUCAAAAUAAUAACUUUCUUCAUAGCAUGCAGCCUCGAGAUUUGAUUUGCGAUCUUUAGUAAAAAAAAUUAAUUCGUAUCAAUCUUUUUUUUUUUGUUGAUUCUUAUAGCAUAUAUUUCUUGGUUGUUUUUAUUUACUCUUUGGUGUUUCAGUAGAGGAUGUGGUUUUGAUUUCAUGAUAUCUUGAUCAGUUUUACUAUUAAUUUGUUGGCAGAAUGCUGGAGUUCUCAUGUGAUUUUUCUAUUUUAGGGUGUUUCCAAUUUAGUAUCGGAUAAUGGUAAUGCUUUGCGAUACUUGAUACAUGGUUAUAACUAAAUGUUUGAUUGUGAAUUGAAACUGCAUCUGUUUUCUGCCGUGUCGUCUGUUUGAAGCAAUAACUUACUUUGUAGCAUCAAACAAUCAAGUUCGUUUUGGCACACUCUUCUUGAUUGGGAAUCAUUUUCAUAUAAUUUAUUCUCUGGAGUUUUAUUGUCCCUGUGUUAUCAAAUUAUUACUCCUUUACACAUUAGGUUUUCUUACAUAAGUUUUUGACAAUGUAAAAGCCCUGUUGAUCAGUGACUUGGCCCAUAGCAUUCAUCUCCACCGUAACCUUAGGUGCUGUUUCUUAUGAUCAUCUAUUUUGUUGGGUAUAACUUAAUUUUGUUGGGCGAGGCUUUAGUUAGUGUUGUACUAUUUUGUUAUAUUUAUUGUUAUAUGUGAUUUAUGCUGUUAAAAAGAUAUCCGCUUCAUUUUACUGUAUUAGGAGGAAUCGAAAAUUGGGUCAUAUGGGUACAUGAUGUGAAAAGAAUAUGUUCCAGUGAAUGAUCAUCUUCUGAAGGCUUUAAUCUGGUCAUAUCUUCUACGAAUCUUGACAUUUCAGCUAGUUUACUCAGUAUCUACUUCUGCAGUUCUGUUAUUUGUGUUGGUUUUACAGGGGAGAGGUUCACAUGCGUUCCUUUCAGCCAAUAAAUGUGCGGAACCGGUGGCAGGCAGAGGUUUACAUACUUUUCAUACAGCCUUGGGAUAAAACAGUGCCGUAAGGACUCGUCUGUACUACAUGUUGGAGAACUAGUAUCUGCUGUCCUUUACUAAAUUGGUAUGCUUCACAAAUUGUGAAAUCACAAAACCGACCUGAUGACAAGAAACCAUCAUUUGGCUAAUCUUAUCAAAUAUCGGGAUCAACCAGACCGACCUGAUCUUUCUGCUCCUCAAAGCUUGCAAUUGUUUCUGAGAUUUGACCAGCUGAUAAUUGCCGCUGAAUUUGAACUCUGGCAGCUCUCAAGGUCUUCACUUCUUGCUGAACUGGUAGGAUAUUCUCAUUAUUUGAAGCACAAAGCACAAUGCUUUGAUCUGGCUUUCUGUAUUGUAACGAUUCAGUUCUCUGUAGUGUCAACUAUCAAGCCUUAUUUUUGGUUCAUUGUUUCUCUGUUGAUUCUUACCGUUUAUUCUUUUUGAUUUUCAAAAGAUAAAUAUAUGAAUGUGCGAUUAUGGCAGAGAUUAUAAUUGGUUUUUGAAGUUUAUAUGAUUUUUAAGAAUCUGUGUGUGUAUUUUAGUUUUAUGCAGUGACCCAAGGACUCCUUCAUAUUACGAGGAUUGCCUCAAUUAUGCAAUUUCAUGUUGAGUACAAGAUCUUCCAAAGCGGGUGGAAAAUCAUUGCGAUGAACAUAGGCUGUGUCGAAUACUUGCCACUAUUGCAAGGCUUAAAUUUGGUCAUUUCUACUGACACAACUGUGUCAUCAUUUUAGUCUUUGUUUGAUACUCAGCAUCUAUUGUUUGCAGUUCCGUGAGUUUUAUGUGUGGGUGUUGAAUGUGCAGUGUGCUGUGGAGCCUGUGGCAGGAUGAGGUUAACAUACUUUCCAUUCAAUUCAGCCUUGGGAUCCGUUACUGUUACAUAUAUGUGUUUUGUCUUGCUAGUCUUGGCGAUUAAUGUUUUGCCCGGAGAAGCAAUUUAAAGGCAAUCUGGCCCUCAAGAUUGACAUUUGGAAGGCUUUGAUACUCUUGAAUGGAGCUUUCUUCUUAAUUGUUUGGGUUGGUUUGAGUUUGACAGAAAAAUUAUGGAUUUCUUGCUUAUUUGAACCGGUGGAAUUUGAUUGGGUAGCACAUUGGGCCAAAACCGACACACGUACACCCCCCAAGUGUAAAGCUACUUGCUGCUGCUGUAAGUCCUAUGCUUUCCGUUCAGCCAAUAAAUGUGCGGAACCGGUGGCAGGCAGAGGUUUACAUACUUUUCAUACAGCCUUGGGAUAAAACAGGUAAUUUUUGGCUUACAUGUGUAUUUGUUUUGGGAGAGUGUUGUAGUUUAUGUGUAUCUGUAGCAUGAACGCGAGUAUGAAGCAUUUAAGAUUCUAGACUACAUCACUUUUCCCUCCCCAAGCUUUAAGUUUUGAUUUCCUUAUCUCUAAGUCUUCAAUAAUUUUUUUCCGCUUGAUAUCAGGGUUUUCCGUACUUGUUUCUUUUUCGCUUGGUAGGGAUUUCUGUAUUGAUAAGCUUUUCUCAGAAUCUCAAGAAUUUCACACAAUCACAUAUGUUUUCAAAACACUGUUUUGCAUUUAAUUUUUAUGGCAGCAUGUUGUAGUCAUUUUAAUCGAGUAAUAUGUAAUUGUGAAUUGAAACGUGUAGCUGUUGAUUACAGUUUAGUGUGUAGAUAGUGGUAAUGUUUUGGGAAACUUGAUACAUGGUUAUAACCUCAGUGUUGAAUUGUGAAUUGAAACUGCAUCUGUUUGCCGCUGUGUCGUCUGUUUUAAAGCAAUUACUUACUUUGUGGUAUCAACCAAUCAGGUUUGUUUUGGCACACUUUUCUUGUUUGGAAUCAUUUUCAUAUCAUAAUUAUUCUCUAGAGUUUUAUUGUCCCUUUGUUAUCAAUUUACUCCUUUACACCUUUGGUUUUCUUACAUUUAAUUUUUUGACAAUGUAAUCUGACAGCCAAAUUUUCCACGAUUCUCGAGAAACCGGGACAACUUCAUAAAUAUCUUGCUGAUCGGUGACUUGGUUUAGCGAGUUAAACUAGUCUUCUUUCCUUUCUUUUUUUUUUUGUUUUUGACAACUUUAUGUUUUAUUAAUUUUUCUCUACAUAUCAUAUGGUGUUCACUGGUAAAGUGUUACAUCUAGGCUUAAUCUGGUGAUCUGAAUUAAAUUUGAGAUAUAAACAAAUUUUUAGGGAUUUAAGUAUUCACUCAUGAAGAUAAAUUGAAUCCAAUCACAUGAAGCUAGAGACCAAAUACUCAUUUUUGUUGCUGCAAGUGAAGCUAGCAUAGAUAGAUAACCUUGUCAAACAACUAAAUGUGCAGCCAAAAUCGUUUCUUAGUGUUGGUCAACUUUGACUACAUGUAUAUAUCAGAUCUGUAUUUCGAUGCCUAUCUAUUGAAAUAGUUUAGUCCCAUAGGCAGUUGAUUUCACAUUAGAGGAAUUAAAGUCGUCGAGGGUGUAUCAAAGGCAUUGCUUCAUAGGUGAAUAGUGUAAUUGUUGGUCCCUCCCUACACUUAGAAACUUCUUGUGCUUCUCAUUUAUUGUAUGUAACUAUUCUUAUCUUUCAUUUGUUUGAAUUGUUCAUGCAUUGACUUUGAAUUAUUCUGCUGCCACCUACUACCUUGAAACAAAUUAUUCUUAAGUAGUGUUGGGGUUCUGGUGUUUGCUUGCUGAUUAUUUCUAUAAUUCAUGCUUCUAGUUCAUAUUUGCUAGAUGAGAUCUAACCUGUUCAAAUGCAGGAACAACCGUAGAAUGCAUAUUGGCUGAAUGAAGUUAAACUCAGUAAGUUACUUGGGACAAGUUUUAUUCUGUUACUUUGCUAAACUGAAAAAUUCUGCAUGAAAACUGGUGUAUGUUGUGAAAGCAGGUUGUCAUUGUGGCUGUGUUUAAUUUUUCAAUUCCUCUUGGCUUAAUUUGGUAAUUUGAACUUAGAUUUAAACAUAUUUGCUUCAAUGCUUCUCUGCAUGCUUGGGCAAGAUUUCACUGACUUUCUCAUUCAUCGUUGGAAUAUAAUUGGUCAUUUUUUUACUUACAUUAUAUAUCCUCAAAUAAUUGUUAUUUGAUUGUGUACAAGCUGGGGAAGUUUUAGUGUUUCAGUAUCCAGAACCUGAGUACUACUCUGGCAUAGAAUAUGAGAUUCUAGAAUAAAUCUUUCCACUUCGUAUGAUAGGAAAUUUAGACAACUUGCUUAUGUAUAGGGUUUGUGUUCUGAUGAUCUGUUCGUUGUAGACAAACAUAACUUUGCUGGGAGAGGUUUUCUACUAUCUUCUUGUUGGGAGAGGUUUUCUAUUAUCUUAUACUGUUUUUUGUUCAUAUUGUUAUUAGUGAUUUAUGCUGCUCUUUACCUACCCAAGAUAAGGACUUUUGGACAUUUUGAUUACAUCAUAGGCUAUUUAUUUUAUUUUUUUUGAAAAUCAACAACUUUUUGGACAUGGUACAAGAUAGAUUGAGGAAUAUAGUUAGACCAAAAACCAUUGGGAUCAAACACAGCCCACUUAGCUAGCUAAUGAACUACAAUAUUCCCAGUCCUCUUAACCCGACAAUGCUUGGUUGGGAACAACUUAACUUUGAUGGGGGGUUUUCUAUAAUCGUCUUUUAAAUUCACAACGAUGAAGAUGAUACUUCUUAAAAAACAUCCUGUUCAUUUAAGGGCCCAGGGACUUCUCUGUAUUAAGAGGAAGCUGCAAUUGUCUCUUCAUAUUGGUACACGAUGUUCUUGCAAAUUGUUCCAAUGAGUCAUCAUCUUCUGGAGGCUGUCCUAUAGUCGCUACUGUUGCUAGGCUAGUUUGGUCAUUACUGCUGCGACUCUUGCAUUUCAAUCUUUUUUGGAUAAUCGGCGGCUACUUUUGUCGGCUCCUUUGAGUUUUUGGUGUGGGUGUCACAGGGGAGAUAACCUACAAAUGUGUGGCAGGAAGAGAGGUACACACUUUCUCAGUCUGCCUUGGAUAAAACUUUCGCCUUGGGAUAAAACUGGUCAUACCUCUUACUUUCCGUUCAGCCUUUGAUAAAUAAAACAUAUCAUUUUUUUUCCCUUCUUAUUCUUGAGAUCAGUUGCUCACAUAUGUUUGCUUUCUGAUGACUCGAUUUCAGGAUUUGCCGUUCUUGUUUUCUUCAAUAGGCUGACGUCAUGGAGCUCGCUAUGAAUUGCAUUUUCAUAUGCGUUUUUAGAAUUGUAGAUAUAUCAAGAAUUUGUUGAUUCCAUUUUUUUUGUUGAUUCUUAUAGCAUAUAUUUCAUGGUUUUCUUAUAGCAGUAGAGGAUGUGGUUUUGAUUUUAUGAUAUCUUGAUCAUUUUUACCUUUAAUUUGUUGGCAGAAUGCUGGAGUUCUCAUGUGAUUUUUCUAUUUUAUGGUGUUUCCAAUUUAGUAUCGGAUAAUUGUAAUGGUUUGCGAUACUUGAUACAUGGUUAUAACUCAAUGUUGAAUUGUGAAUUGAAGCAAUAACUUGUUGUGUAGCAUCAAACAAACAAGUUCGUUUUGGC
Long non-coding RNA from Trifolium pratense (red clover), 6977 nucleotides. RefSeq lists it as uncharacterized. NCBI's taxonomy places the organism in Eukaryota, Viridiplantae, Streptophyta, Magnoliopsida, Fabales, Fabaceae. The record is from RefSeq and is a predicted model, not a curated record. The transcript is spliced from 3 exons.